UAGAGAAUCUUCCACAAUGGACGAAAGUCUGACGGAGCAACGCCGCGUGAGUGAUGAAGGUCUUCGGAUCGUAAAACUCUGUUAUCAGGGAAGAACAAGUAUCGGAGUAACUGCCGGUACCUUGACGGUACCUGACCAGAAAGCCACGGCUAACUACGUGCCAGCAGCCGCGGUAAUACGUAGGUGGCAAGCGUUGUCCGGAAUUAUUGGGCGUAAAGCGCGCGCAGGCGGUCUCUUAAGUCUGAUGUGAAAUCUCGUGGCUCAACCACGAACGGUCAUUGGAAACUGGGGGACUUGAGUGCAGAAGAGAAGAGUGGAAUUCCACGUGUAGCGGUGAAAUGCGUAGAGAUGUGGAGGAACACCAGUGGCGAAGGCGGCUCUUUGGUCUGUAACUGACGCUGAGGCGCGAAAGCGUGGGGAGCGAACAGGAUUAGAUACCCUGGUAGUCCACGCCGUAAACGAUGAGUGCUAAGUGUUAGAGGGUUUCCGCCCUUUAGUGCUGCAGCAAACGCAUUAAGCACUCCGCCUGGGGAGUACGGCCGCAAGGCUGA
This 551-nucleotide ribosomal RNA is filed under the name uncultured compost bacterium. RNAcentral describes it as "bacterial SSU rRNA". It matches the Rfam family "Bacterial small subunit ribosomal RNA", at positions 355 to 897 of the family's 1533-position model. The record is from RNAcentral.